UACGUAGGGGGCGAGCGUUAUCCGGAAUUACUGGGCGUAAAGCGCACGCAGGCGGUUCGCCAAGUUUGGAGUGACAGUUGUCGGCUCAACCGACAAAGGACUUCAAAAACUGGUGAACUUGAGGACGAGAGAGGAACAUGGAACUCCAGGUGUAGUAGUGAAAUGCGUAGAUAUCUGGAAGCACACCAAUGGCGAAGGCAAUGUUCUGGCUCGUUUCUGACGCUCAGGUGCGAAAGCCAGGGGAGCGAACGGG
Molecule: ribosomal RNA, 253 nt
Filed under: uncultured bacterium
Lineage: Bacteria
Description: partial 16S ribosomal RNA
Rfam family: Bacterial small subunit ribosomal RNA
Source: RNAcentral